RNAcentral lists this ribosomal RNA (301 nucleotides) under uncultured bacterium. RNAcentral's name for it is "partial 16S ribosomal RNA". It matches the Rfam family "Bacterial small subunit ribosomal RNA", at positions 509 to 807 of the family's 1533-position model. The record is from RNAcentral.
CAGUCGCCGCGGGAAUACGUGGGUGGCAAGCGUUGUCCGGAUUUAUUGGGCGUAAAGCGAGCGCAGGCGGUCAAUUAAGUCUGAUGUGAAAGCCCCCGGCUCAACCGGGGAGGGUCAUUGGAAACUGGUUGACUUGAGUGCAGAAGAGGAGAGUGGAAUUCCAUGUGUAGCGGUGAAAUGCGUAGAUAUAUGGAGGAACACCAGUGGCGAAGGCGACUCUCUGGUCUGUAACUGACGCUGAGGCUCGAAAGCGUGGGUAGCAAACAGGAUUAGAUACCCCAGUAGUCCCUGUCUCUUAUAC